UUAUCUUCUCCGCUUCCUCUUCUAUUGAUCCAUACCAAGAAGCCGAUUGAUUUACUCCCCAAUCAUUGAGACUUCCGUUUCCAUUUGGUCAUUUAUUCCUCGCCUAGCAUGUGCCCCGUCCCCUUCCUCAUUCCAAUUUCUGGCUACGUCCUCUUGCCUGUUCGAAUUCGUCGGCGAUACAACUUCUCGAUCUAUAAAUGGCUCCUCCAAGAAUCCUGCUGCGAACUCCUCAUUGCCUUCGUUCUGCUCUUCCGGUUAACCGAGGAGUCUGCGAGAGAUUUGACAAUAUGUCAAAGUUGACUGUUCAUGCAGUUGAAGCGCAAGUUCUGAAUUAUCAUGAAGCCGUUGAAUCGUCUGUUCUGAACUCGAGCACCCACAUGAAGCGAUCGGUCAUGCAGUGCCAGAAUCUCACAGCUCCAGCAGUUCCAACGCCUGGAACGAGGCACGCGCCUACCUGAACCGACCGAUUCAACCAGUCUGUACGAUGGUUAUAGUGAAGAAAAAUACCAAAUACGCAUGCAGUUGAAGUGACUUCUUUCUACCACUCCAUCAACCGAGAGUCUAUUAUUUGAGUGACAAAGAAAAGAGAAAAACAGUUUAAACAUGGGCAUUGCAUGGCGGAAGUAUAUCAGAUGUGAAUCUUCCAUAUAGUGAAUCUUUGGUGUAUGUAGAAAACAUGUCCCUGAUGUCCUUCUUUCCAUGAAUGUAUUUCUGAGUUGUUUCCGCCAUUUGUUUUUGCAGGUUGCAUAAAUUUUACAGGUUCCAAUUUGUUUUUGCAGGUUGCAUAAAUUUUACCAGAGUUUAGUAACUGGAUUAGAAUUUAAUAGAGUUUUUUCGAGUGUGAAGAAUUUAACAGAGUGCAGAACAUGUUGGCAAGUGUGGCUCGCUACCUUAUCUUGAGAUUUUGUGUGGUAUUUAUUCAUUCCUUCCCAGGUUGCACAUGAUAUCUAAAGUGAUUAUUGCUAUACAUAGGAACGACAUUCCAACAUCUUACUAACGUGAUUUGAAUCAGUUUACCAGAUGCAGGAAAUGAAUAUCCAAUUACGCGGUACUUUCAUAUUCAGUGUAACUCAACGGGUGACUUGAUGUCAUUAGCUUCCCUUGAGCCUAGUUUCUCGCUUUGAUUUUCAGGUAAACUUUCUGAAACUGAUAGUUGCCCAAUGGAAAUCCCGUGUCUCCAUUUAAUUGGCUUUUUUUUCCAAGAUCUCAUAUUUAUUAUGAUCGUACAGACUAACGUUGCAGGAUCUAUGGCGCACACCGCAAUAAUCAUUUUCGUAGCUGCAGAACCAGACCCAGAGGUUAAAAUGAGCCUCUUAAUAUAUUAGUGCUUUGGUUAUUUUUGUUUUGGAAGUUUAACGGGGCUUCCCUCUCCACCGGUGGUGAUACAAAACACUAGAUCGACGUACGAGGCUUUGAGGAAUGUGACCCUCUACCGGCAUGAGGUGUUUGGGAUUUCCGGCGUUGAUCGCGUACUGGCGUUUAAACAGAUUGUUAAUUUGAUGCAUACGAUAGUAGAUGUUAGUUAAUUAGCAUGGCGGGACAUUUUUUGUGACUUUCUAAUU
Lolium perenne is the source of this 1562-nucleotide long non-coding RNA. RefSeq lists it as uncharacterized. Lineage: Eukaryota; Viridiplantae; Streptophyta; Magnoliopsida; Poales; Poaceae. The record is from RefSeq and is a predicted model, not a curated record.